RNAcentral lists this ribosomal RNA (351 nucleotides) under Triticum aestivum (bread wheat). Its description in RNAcentral is "partial small subunit ribosomal RNA". The record is from RNAcentral. Lineage: Eukaryota; Viridiplantae; Streptophyta; Magnoliopsida; Poales; Poaceae.
AAGCAUGGAUGGCCAAAUUAUGACAUGUGCCCUCUUUGCAAGAGGGUGCAAGAAAGCGGGACUCACCUCCUCUACAAGUGCCGCUACACGAGAAGGCUAUGGUCUUUGGUCAUUGACAAAUACCACAUUCUCGGGCUCGACACAAACACUUGGCCCUUGUUCGACACGGUUGAGGCUUGGUGGGCAAGUACUUGCGACAGCGCCACGCCAUUCAGACAAGCCAAGGCAUCCCUCACCAUGCUUGUCUCAUGGACUAUUUGGAACGAGCGAAACGCGAGAGUGUUCAAGCAGAAGAGCGCGCCACCGACUGCAUUGCUCGCCUCUGGAUCAUCGCCGGUGCGAAAAAACUAG